This 486-nucleotide ribosomal RNA is filed under the name Triticum aestivum (bread wheat). RNAcentral's name for it is "partial small subunit ribosomal RNA". Lineage: Eukaryota; Viridiplantae; Streptophyta; Magnoliopsida; Poales; Poaceae. The record is from RNAcentral.
AUGCGAAAAGCCAUGAGGGAGAUCCACAGCCCGCCUCCACAGCCAGAGGACCACAACCGGGCCCUCGACCCCGGACUCGAAGAGGAUCCGGACAUAUUUGUGGAGUUUGACGGCAGGGUGUUUUACCAGGCAAGCUGUGACGGCACCUUGGUGGCCAUCAUCGCCGAUUAUCCCGGCCUCCUCUCGGCAUCACGUGGAAAGCUACUGGCAUGUCGCGCCGAACCCGCGGCGACUCACCAACAAGGGGCGCCCAAGUCGGGUAGGCUUCCAAAAAGGAAAGCGAGCAGAGACAGGGCCGAGUCGCCAUCGAAGAGAAAGAGCAUCCGCCGGAUUAUAUCUAGGGAUCCUUCUCGUCACGCCUCUACCAGCCGGACUCCAGAGCCGUCCUCGACGGUGGAGGCUAAAGUUGAGACGACACUGGAUGGCCGUCCUACAGAGGAUUUAGAUAGAAUAUCCGCUACAAUUUCGAGGUGGAGAGCGCUAUGA